UGGUGUUAGACGUGUAAAAAAAAAAUAUUUUAUACGAAGAGAAAAAAAAUAUUCGAAGAUUUAAUUGAAUAAUUUUUAAGGAUAUAAAAGGAUCACAUAUAAUAUCAACUUAUUUUAAAAUUUCGGACGACGAAAUUAAUUUUUCAACUAAUUUUUAUUUUCCUGUUGUUUGGAUCGCCGAUUCCUCUGUGAAUCGGCGCUGUCCACGAACAAAAGAAGAGGAAAACUCCAAACUCAAAUUAUCUGUAUUGGUCCCAAAUUUCCUUAGACAUCAAUCCCCUAAUUAUUAUAUAAUCGGUCCCAAAGACCAAUUGAUGCCUUUUAAAGGCGGAUAUAGAGAUUUUUGAUUGUACUAAUAUCAAGACCGGAGUCUUCUAAUCGAUGGUUUGAUUAGAGCUCAAAGAACCCAAAAUUGACCUAAAACCCUGACUUGUCAAAUCAAUACAUCAAAUGCUAGAGUCUUCCCGUCCAUAGUUUUAUUGGAGCCCAAUGGACACAGCAUUUCCCUAUUACCGAAUUGUGUCAAUUAAAGAAUUCUGGGGAUUCUCAUUUUUUUUUUCAAUUGGAGAUAAAACAAGAAUUGUUUAUAGUAUAUACAUUUAGAUUAAUUCCCCCAUUAUUACAUACAAGACAAUUAUUAAAUUUAUAUGUUACCUUGGUGCACGAGCAAAACAAAUUUGAAGCCUUAACUUUUAUAACCACCCAGAACUAUAGCAAUUUCAAAUCCCACGUCAGAAGGCGUAAGGACAUCAUGGAUAUUAGCUGGUGAGUUUUCAUAAUAUUAUUUAAUUUGUUAUGCUCAUGUCACAUUUUUAUAAUAACACAAAUUCACGACACUUAUCUUUACUACAUGCUAGGUUUAGUUUUUAUUUUUACGUAAACUAUAGUUCUUUCUUUCAAUAUGAUUCACUUUUAACUUAUUUAUAAACUUAGAUUACCUUUAAUACAAUCACUUUUUAUUGGACUAAUUUUUAUACCUUUAAUUGCCACAAAUCGAUUACUAUUAAUUUUUGAAUAUAUUAUAACGAUGUUUUAAA
Long non-coding RNA from Stomoxys calcitrans (stable fly), 1037 nucleotides. RefSeq lists it as uncharacterized. The transcript has 2 exons. Lineage: Eukaryota; Metazoa; Arthropoda; Insecta; Diptera; Muscidae. The record is from RefSeq and is a predicted model, not a curated record.